CAACAUUCCUAAAAAUUUUCCCUCUUAUUUCAUGAUCCUGAUGUAAGAUCUCCCAAGCCUUCUCAUGACAAUCUCAGACUAAAGCACAGAGGAAAUGCUUCACCCCAACUUCUGAGAACGCUUCAUUGAACAUAUGCUCAACCUACCUAGUUUGUGAUAUGCUUGAUACCCGUAUGAAUGAUUUCUACCUGGGAAUGCCACAUCAGUGACAGAAUUAUCAGCAAUUAGGAACAGAAGAAUUCUGGCUCCUUCAGUGUUUACUGAGAAAUUACUCUCAGAUGAGAUUCAGCUCUGAGAGAUACUUCUUGUAUGAGAUUUGCAUUGCCAGGCCUCUGAUGAUCCAGUAAGGGCUAAGAUUUAGGAAAUGAUGAUGCUUGAGGAAGGUUAGGAAAAUCAUGAACUUCACAUCACUUCUGCAGCAAUGUUACCCCAGUGGUCACCUCAAGAUUGCAUGGUGGUAAGGAGUAGCCCAAAGGGAUAGUGUGUACAGGUCAUAGGUGUGAUUUAAAAGCUGUUGGAUACAUCCAGCCACAGAGGAUGGCCUAUUCUGCCUUCUCCUGAGAAGUUUUCACUGAAGACACAGACACUACACCUAACUGGUGGUAUGCUUGACACCUGUAUGACUGAUUUCUACCUGGGAAUGCUACAUCAGUAACAGAAGUAUCAGCAAGCCGCUGCAGAGGAAUCCUGGCUUCUUCAGUGUUUACAGAGAAAUGUCACUCAUGACGAGAUUCAUCUCUGAGAGAUACUUCUGGUGUAAGGAUCCCAAUGAAGUGUCUCACAAACCUGUUCAAUGUAUUCUCAGACUCAGUCACACAGGAACUGCUUCUGAGGAGGUUUCCCUGAAGAUACAGCCAAAACAGCUUCCUGGUGGUAUUAUAAAACUUGUGCUUUUCCCUUUCUUUUAAAUUAAUAAUCGGCAGUAUAUUAAACUCAAUUACAUUGUUUAUGUUCCCUUAUAUUAGCAUGCUUGUUGUCCAUAUAUUUAAAUUUUUAAAUCUUUAUGUUAUGUGUAUAUUUACUAUUUCUUUGGAAGUCACACAUAUUGUUCUUUCCAACUAGACAUAGUUAAUGUUUCUUGCCAUAGAACCACCUACUACUCAUUUCACCAGUAUUUGCCCUGAAUUCAAUAUCCAGAAAAUCUUCCGUGAAGUGAAAUCUACUUAUUACUUUUCGGUUCUAAUAUUUGCAAGUCCUGAAACUUUUAUUAAUCUAGUUAUUUCCUUCUCUUUAUAUUCCUAAUAUUCCAUUUGUAUACAUGAACUGUUUUGUUGAGUCUUUUCUUCCUUUUGGCUUAAACACUUAAAAAAACAUAGCAUUUUUUUACAUGCAUAUGAAAGUUUAUCAUUGUCACCCCAGCUCUCCUAAAUCACUCUACACUUUGUCAUUGACUGUUCUUUCUAGGUCCCUUUGCUAUAUUCUUUCUUUUUAGUUAAACAUAUGAAGAAUUAAUACAAGACUUGUUCAUUGACCUCACUUCCAUAUCACUGUGUCUGAUACUUUUACUGUGCACUUAUCAUUCCCCUCUCAAAUGCAUUACCUCCUGACUAAUUGUUAUUGUUAUGUAUACACACACAACUAUACAGGUUUACUUUUAUAUAAACAU
Cricetulus griseus (Chinese hamster) is the source of this 1606-nucleotide non-coding RNA. The record is from RefSeq and is a predicted model, not a curated record. Lineage: Eukaryota; Metazoa; Chordata; Mammalia; Rodentia; Cricetidae.